GCGCUCGUGGCGGAAUUGGUAGACGCACCAGAUUUAGGUUCUGGCGCCCAAGGCGUGGGAGUUCGAGUCUCCCCGAGCGCACCA
Molecule: transfer RNA, 84 nt
Filed under: Hydrogenophilales bacterium
Lineage: Bacteria; Pseudomonadati; Pseudomonadota; Hydrogenophilia; Hydrogenophilales
Also listed under: 1 other name
Description: tRNA-Leu
Rfam family: tRNA
About the family: Transfer RNA (tRNA) molecules are approximately 80 nucleotides in length. Their secondary structure includes four short double-helical elements and three loops (D, anti-codon, and T loops).
Source: RNAcentral